UGCAGUCGACGGUAACAUGAGAGCUUGCUCUUGAUGACGAGUGGCGCACGGGUGCGUAACGCGUAUGCAACCUACCUUUUACUGAGGGAUAGCCCAGAGAAAUUUGGAUUAAUACCUCAUAGUAUCAUAAAUGUUCAUGCAUUAAUGAUUAAAACUUCGGUGGUAAAAGAUGGGCAUGCGUAAGAUUAGCUAGUUGGUAAGGUAACGGCUUACCAAGGCAACGAUCUUUAGGGGGCCUGAGAGGGUGGUCCCCCACACUGGUACUGAGACACGGACCAGACUCCUACGGGAGGCAGCAGUGAGGAAUAUUGGUCAAUGGACGCAAGUCUGAACCAGCAGCCGCGGUAAUACG
RNAcentral lists this ribosomal RNA (352 nucleotides) under uncultured bacterium. RNAcentral describes it as "bacterial SSU rRNA". It matches the Rfam family "Bacterial small subunit ribosomal RNA", at positions 56 to 392 of the family's 1533-position model. The record is from RNAcentral.